AUUCAACGCUGGCGGCAUGCCUUACACAUGCAAGUCGAACGGCAGCACGGGAGCAAUCCUGGUGGCGAGUGGCGAACGGGUGAGUAAUACAUCGGAACGUGCCCAGUAGUGGGGGAUAACCCGGCGAAAGCCGGACUAAUACCGCAUACGACCUACGGGUGAAAGCGGGGGAUCGCAAGACCUCGCGCUAUCGGAGCGGCCGAUGUCAGAUUAGCUAGUUGGUGGGGUAAAGGCCUACCAAGGCGACGAUCUGUAGCUGGUCUGAGAGGACGACCAGCCACACUGGGACUGAGACACGGCCCAGACUCCUACGGGAGGCAGCAGUGGGGAAUUUUGGACAAUGGGCGCAAGCCUGAUCCAGCCAUGCCGCGUGCGGGAAGAAGGCCUUCGGGUUGUAAACCGCUUUUGUCAGGGAAGAAACGCUCCGGGCUAAUACCACGGAGUAAUGACGGUACCUGAAGAAUAAGCACCGGCUAACUACGUG
This 484-nucleotide ribosomal RNA is filed under the name uncultured bacterium. RNAcentral describes it as "partial 16S ribosomal RNA". It matches the Rfam family "Bacterial small subunit ribosomal RNA", at positions 29 to 507 of the family's 1533-position model. The record is from RNAcentral.